AUGGAGCGUUCUUCUUCCUUGCUCGCCCGCAGCAGCGUCGCCCUCCUGCUGCUGCUGGCUCUCCUACUCUGUUCCUUGGCUUGCUCGGCAGCGGUCCAAGUUUCUCUGGACGGAAACCGCGAGGGGCAACGACCUCCGGCGCCCUGGGCAUCAGGCGCGAGGUCGAAGUACUGCCCAGGCUGCAGCGACGACGGCGUCCCUCCGCCGCCACCGCCGCCGCCUGCAACUACGUCGGCACUUGCGCCUCACCGCAAGACCCUGGGGGUUGCUGCGAGGAUCCCUUCCACGAGAACCACCUAUACUAGAUGA
RNAcentral lists this ribosomal RNA (309 nucleotides) under Triticum aestivum (bread wheat). RNAcentral describes it as "partial small subunit ribosomal RNA". Lineage: Eukaryota; Viridiplantae; Streptophyta; Magnoliopsida; Poales; Poaceae. The record is from RNAcentral.